Molecule: long non-coding RNA, 1066 nt
Organism: Daphnia magna
Lineage: Eukaryota; Metazoa; Arthropoda; Branchiopoda; Diplostraca; Daphniidae
Exons: 2
Source: RefSeq, a predicted model, not a curated record
AAAAAACUAGAGUAUUUGGGGAUUUUAAUGUUAUUUCGUUUAUAUGCAGCAUUAAUUUUAAGAUGACGCGUACCGCCAUAAGCGCCGUGUUAAACACGGCGAAAAAAUUUCGACGCGGAAACCGAUUUGAGUAACUCCUGAAUUAACAAAAAAAUAGUAAAUCUACAUAAAAAACAUCGAAAUUUGAAACACACGUUUAUUAACAUAUAAAGUUUGAUUACAUGUACUCAAAACAAUAAAAUAUUUACAAUUAGACCCCCAUUUCCGAUUUUCAAAUUUUCAAUUGCAAAUUUAUAUGUGAUCCCACAGUACGAUUUUGUACGGGUUUUUUACACUUCCUUAAAAAGUAAGUAGAAAUAGUGCAAAAAAAAAAUUCAAAUUACUAAUUGUCCUAGGUAUACCCCCCUUUUUCAGCUAAAAUGGCCAUACUACCAGCAUUAGUCCCAUCCGAGACUUUUCGUCUGUUAACAUCUCACCUUUGUUUUAAUUUAGUGCCUAGCCUACUGUCAGGAACUUGUUUUGGAAUUUAAAAAAGACACCCGUUGCAUAUUUCUUAUUCGAAAGCAUUUUAAGCGGUUCAAAAACAAGCACCAGCAGAUACGUUAGUGAAAUAUAUCGCUACUAACCUGAUGUUACACUUCGAAGAAGAAAGCGUUGAAAAUUGGAGGCAGUCUUAAAUAGCAUUUGAAACAAUUGAAAACUUCAGGAAAAGGACCAUAUUUCUAAAUUAAAAAUAGUGCCAUUUUCCUAAAAUGGUUUCUUUUAUUGCAUCCACAAACUGAGAUGGUAUCCAAUAGAUCCAAUAUCUUGAAGCUUCAGUUGGACCAAGCUGGAUCCCCUGGAUGGUACAAGAGUUUUUAUAAAAUUACUUGAUUAUUCGGCCGUCAAAACGGUGCUUAGAGAAGGAAACAGGAUGGCAACAUAUUGCAAACUGUCUUACAAGUAUGUGGUAUUCUUCAUGACCUUCUAUUGGCUCACUCACAAUGGUUUUGAUUGUAGACAUACUAAUUUUUUCUGUUCUUUCUUUUGUCCCUAAAUAUGAAAUACAGUUAAUUGUGUUUCAAUA